UCGGGUUGUUCGGCGUCGCGUCGCGCUCCGUCUGGCCACCGGCGGGGUUCUUGGUCAGGAGGACGGAUGCAUCACACCCCUGCAUUGCAGUAACAGGAAGGAAUUUCUUUCAGAAAAAAGAAAAAAAAAAGGGAGUACAUAUUAUGGAAUGAGGGAGUACUGAAGAAGCUUACAACUAUAUAUUCAAAUCAACAGGUAAAUUGAUGACACCCGGUUUAACUAAUAUAGCUAUGUGUACAUGUCUACGUCUUUAUUGUAAUCCAAACAAACAAAUUAAUAUGUUUUUAGUAAUGCUCAGUUUAACUAACAUGCUUAUUGUUUUAUUGUGUGAGGUCGACUAGAAUUUUUUGAGGCAUUAUUACUAGAAGAUUCAUUUCACCUCUAUCCUACUCGAUCUUCUACUAGAAAAUUUAUAAAAUAUUUUUCCAACUUUUUAAUAGCUAAUUUAUUUGUUUAUAACCUUAAAUAGCUGUAAAAAACAAAUAAUCAAUCGAUUUUAGCUCUUAUUAAGGACAACAUACCAACCCCUUCCUCCACCUCCUAGCUUAUUUCUGGUUUCAGCGAGAAGCUCCUCCAACCUGAUUUGUGACUCCGUCCAUGUUUCGCAUCGUUAGAUCCAAUGUCACGUCCCUUCUUCCACCUCCUAGUGACAUAGUCAACUACAUUACUCCUCUACAUACACGUGCUGUAAACUCCGGCCAUUAACCUCCUAUUGUGUCAUAUAUAUGUUGCCUAGCUCUACAUAGACUAAAGUACAUCUUAAGUUGUAGUCUAUACCACAUUUUCUCAACUUCUUCUGUCUCCUCAUUUUCGGUGCAUAUACUUUCUACUUUCUAGACUGCUCAACGGUUUUCGCAAAAACUUUUCUCUAUAGAAAAGUUGCUUAAAAAUCAUAUUAAUUUAUUUUUUAAGUUUGUUUAUGUAAAUAUUUAAUUAAUCAUGCGCUAUUUCGCCGCUCUAUUUUGUGUGCCGAGAGGGAGCAUUCCUGUCGCCAAACGAACACAUCCUUAUUAUACUCUUGAAGACUUGAACUAAAUCACACCUUAUUGUUCCAUCAAAAUAUGAUAUUCAACGAGUUAAAUACCAUUUUUGAUACUAUCAAACUAAGGAGUACAUAUUUACGACUGCCAGUGUCAAGCAGUACUGGAUGUUAAUACGACACCUGAAAAAAUGAAGGAUCAAUGGGGAUUGAGGAAACGAAAGGAACAUACUGAGAUUCGCCAAAUGGGAGCCUGGGAGGCUUUUUGUUUGUCACCCAUUGCAAGCAGGGUAUAUGCGGUUCCCUUGAAAGAAAGAAAGCUGCUUUGAUUCUGUAACUAUAUACACUUAUGCUUUCUGAUUUUGGUAGCUUUUCUUUUAUGGCUUUUUACUUUGUUCCCUUUGUCUUCAGAGACAACUCUACCUUUUUUUGGUUUUCAUUAAGCAUGACCAGGGUCUCUUUAAUUGUUCUUUAAUGUCUUCAUUUUUAGACACAUGUUUGAGCAUUAUCUUUUUCAAAAGUAUAUCGAUAGAUUUUGUUAAAUAUACAAUGGAAUCAAAGUUCUUUUUUUUUGCGUGUAGUUCUUAAUUUAAUUUGGUGUGAUGACAAAUAUAUCUUUUCUAUGGAAAAUCUAAAUACUAGUACUUGAAUAUUUGCUGGUGGUCUUAGUCUUAAAUUAAUAGCUUAAUUCAUGCAUUCUGGGGACGAAAAGUAAAUGAAAAAAAUCAAUACUGCUGGUAGAUCGCUUGAGGGAUGCAUGGUUGAAAAGAGGUAAUUAAGCUCAAGUUAGCAACGGAGAAGCAUAAAAAUAAGCUAGCCAAGGCCCAAGGCAGACAUGAUAUUAAUUAGUAAAACUAAUUGAAAAGCAACACAAACGACAAUUACAGAUUUAGAGAGAGAUGUCAAAAGCCCCCUACAAGUCCAUUUUCACCGUGCAUAUAUUGAUCCUCACACAUGUAAGGAUUCAUGGAAACUAACUUGCAAAGAACUAUUUUGAAAAAUUGUUGAGUUCUUUUCCAAUUUAAGUAUUUUUAUGAGCUAUGCAUAGAUGGAGCAUAGACCUGAAUAAGUUUAGUUGGGUAGAUGUUUACUCGAUCCAGUUUCUAAUAAUGUGGCAAAUAUGCAGAUCGCCAACAUAUUAGAAAAUUCAAAUCUUCAGGAUUAAUUUGUGAAAAGUAGAUAAACUAAUCAUCAUUAACAAAAUAAGUGUUUUAUUUUGGUUCCCCAACUGGGAAAAUCUGGGCUAGCUGUUCUCAAGUGUUUAGUUAAACAUUGUCUUAAGAAAAAAGUUAAGCACAUCAAACAUAAGUCGAUUAUUUCCCGUUUGCAAGCCAGACAUUUUGCAGGCAUAUACGUAUAUGCAUGUGCUUCUAUAAACAUUAUACAAACAGAUAUUCAUGGAGAUGGUGGUCAAUAAUUUCUGCAUUAUACUACUAUAUGCACUAGCUGGGUUUCAGUAGUAGGUAC
This is a long non-coding RNA of Oryza sativa Japonica Group (Japanese rice), 2446 nucleotides long. RefSeq lists it as uncharacterized. NCBI's taxonomy places the organism in Eukaryota, Viridiplantae, Streptophyta, Magnoliopsida, Poales, Poaceae. The record is from RefSeq and is a predicted model, not a curated record.